RNAcentral lists this ribosomal RNA (492 nucleotides) under uncultured bacterium. Its description in RNAcentral is "partial 16S ribosomal RNA". It matches the Rfam family "Bacterial small subunit ribosomal RNA", at positions 29 to 507 of the family's 1533-position model. The record is from RNAcentral.
AGUGAACGCUGGCGGUAGGCCUAACACAUGCAAGUCGAACGGCAGCACGGUAAGAGCUUGCUCUUACGGGUGGCGAGUGGCGGACGGGUGAGGAAUACAUCGGAAUCUACUUUUUCGUGGGGGAUAACGUAGGGAAACUUACGCUAAUACCGCAUACGACCUACGGGUGAAAGCAGGGGAUCUUCGGACCUUGCGCGAUUGAAUGAGCCGAUGUCGGAUUAGCUAGUUGGCGGGGUAAAGGCCCACCAAGGCGACGAUCCGUAGCUGGUCUGAGAGGAUGAUCAGCCACACUGGAACUGAGACACGGUCCAGACUCCUACGGGAGGCAGCAGUGGGGAAUAUUGGACAAUGGGCGCAAGCCUGAUCCAGCCAUACCGCGUGGGUGAAGAAGGCCCUCGGGUUGUAAAGCCCUUUUGUUGGGAAAGAAAAGCAGCAGGUUAAUACCCCGCUGUUCUGACGGUACCCAAAGAAUAAGCACCGGCUAACUUCGUG